This 624-nucleotide ribosomal RNA is filed under the name Limosilactobacillus coleohominis. RNAcentral's name for it is "bacterial SSU rRNA". It matches the Rfam family "Bacterial small subunit ribosomal RNA", at positions 402 to 1017 of the family's 1533-position model. Lineage: Bacteria; Bacillati; Bacillota; Bacilli; Lactobacillales; Lactobacillaceae. The record is from RNAcentral.
UGAGUGAAGAAGGGUUUCGGCUCGUAAAACUCUGUUGUUGAAGAAGAACGUGCGUGAGAGUAACUGUUCACGCAGUGACGGUAUUCAACCAGAAAGUCACGGCUAACUACGUGCCAGCAGCCGCGGUAAUACGUAGGUGGCAAGCGUUAUCCGGAUUUAUUGGGCGUAAAGCGAGCGCAGGCGGUUUUCUAAGUCUGAUGUGAAAGCCUUCGGCUUAACCGGAGAAGGGCAUCGGAAACUGGAUAACUUGAGUGCAAGAGAGGACAGUGGAACUCCAUGUGUAGCGGUGGAAUGCGUAGAUAUAUGGAAGAACACCAGUGGCGAAGGCGGCUGUCUAGCUUGCAACUGACGCUGAGGCUCGAAAGCAUGGGUAGCGAACAGGAUUAGAUACCCUGGUAGUCCAUGCCGUAAACGAUGAGUGCUAGGUGUUGGAGGGUUUCCGCCCUUCAGUGCCGGAGCUAACGCAUUAAGCACUCCGCCUGGGGAGUACGACCGCAAGGUUGAAACUCAAAGGAAUUGACGGGGGCCCGCACAAGCGGUGGAGCAUGUGGUUUAAUUCGAAGCUACGCGAAGAACCUUACCAGGUCUUGACAUCUUGCGCCAACCUCAGAGAUGAGGCGUUCC